Molecule: unclassified non-coding RNA, 253 nt
Filed under: uncultured Phycisphaeraceae bacterium
Lineage: Bacteria; Pseudomonadati; Planctomycetota; Phycisphaerae; Phycisphaerales; Phycisphaeraceae
Description: contains 16S-23S intergenic spacer region
Rfam family: Bacterial small subunit ribosomal RNA
Source: RNAcentral
UACGAAGGGCCCGAGCGUUGCGCGGAAUUACUGGGCUUAAAGCGUGCGCAGGCGGGCAUGCAGGCGCUUUGUGAAAUCCCUCGACUCAAUCGAGGAAUUGCUUGGCGAACCGCAUGUCUUGAGGCAAGUAGGGGCGGUCGGAACGAUAGGUGGAGUGGUGAAAUGCGUUGAUAUCUAUCGGAACGCCGAAGGAGAAAUCAGGCCGCUGGGCUUGUCCUGACGCUGAGGCACGAAAGCGUGGGGAGCGAACGGG